UUGGAAAGAAUAAUAUUAUUAAUUUUCUUUUUCCAGAAUAAAAAGAAUGUAUACAAAGUUGGUAAGAAAUUAGAAAAAACUAAAGUUACGUACAAUAACAUCACCAAGGAGUUAUGCCUACGAUAACAAGAUGUCAAUUGAAUCAACAAAUAGAAUUUAAACGAAGAUACAACAUUACUUUCUAUCACUUUCUGCUCCGAAAACAAACUGUUCUCCUCAUUUGCUGAGGUUAAUGAAGGCAAAUGCCUCACUAGUUCCUAUAUUUGUCAAUCCUGUGUAAAAUAGUGUAAGAAGGAAAAAAAAAAUUGAAGGUACCCAAAAGUUCGCAUUGUAUGGACUGGUCAUCUAAAAGGUUCAACUGGUGCUGUCUCUUCAAGAGAGGCAGCAGCCUCAAAACAUUCAGCGGCUUCUAGUUUUGAUGAUUGUGUACCCUGAGAUUUAUAGAACAGCCCAAGGUUGUACCAUGCAGACGAGUUCAUUCCAUCUAAUCGAAGAGCAGCCAUCAAAAAGCUUCUGAUAACUGCAUUUGAUUGGUCACUGAGCUUUCUAAGAACCACGGCUGUGGAUAUCAAGCUUGGGACAUGAGCAGGAUCAAUGUUCAAAGCACUUCUAAAAGCUUUUAUGGCUUCUUUGUAGAGACCCUUUUUCUCAUAAAGUACACCUGAAAUAUCAACAAGGUUCAGAAUUUGCAACUCAUAACAUGCUCCAUUAUAAGAAAAUGUUUUAUAAUUUUGGAUAAAUUCGACCAACAAAAAGAAUUAAAUAGUUACGGAUGCUCAAGAGUUUUUGACUUGUACUACUUAAAACUAAAAGUAGAUAUACAUGGACCAAUACUACUGAAACUAAAAGUUGUGGCAUGCGGCUGCCUGGAAGCUCGAGUUUGGUACCGUAGCUUUUCAGUAGACAUGAAGACAAUGGUUCUAUCUUUCCCAUCUAAUUGGUGAUGUACAAGACAGAAUUAAUCACAAAUCAUCGAAUCUAAAACAUAAUUUCUUUCACUGCCUCCUCUCCCUUAUUUUUCAAUUUCGAGCAAAAGAAUAAAUUUGUAUUCACUAUUGCUUCCUAUGAAGCUAAGGAGAAAUUCUAAAUUAUUAAUUUUCUUUUUCCAGAAUAAAAAGAAUGUAUACAAAGUUGGUAAGAAAUUAGAAAAAACUAAAGUUACGUACAAUAACAUCACCAAGGAGUUAUGCCUACGAUAACAAGAUGUCAAUUGAAUCAACAAAUAGAAUUUAAACGAAGAUACAACAUUACUUUCUAUCACUUUCUGCUCCGAAAACAAACUGUUCUCCUCAUUUGCUGAGGUUAAUGAAGGCAAAUGCCUCACUAGUUCCUAUAUUUGUCAAUCCUGUGUAAAAUAGUGUAAGAAGGAAAAAAAAAAUUGAAGGUACCCAAAAGUUCGCAUUGUAUGGACUGGUCAUCUAAAAGGUUCAACUGGUGCUGUCUCUUCAAGAGAGGCAGCAGCCUCAAAACAUUCAGCGGCUUCUAGUUUUGAUGAUUGUGUACCCUGAGAUUUAUAGAACAGCCCAAGGUUGUACCAUGCAGACGAGUUCAUUCCAUCUAAUCGAAGAGCAGCCAUCAAAAAGCUUCUGAUAACUGCAUUUGAUUGGUCACUGAGCUUUCUAAGAACCACGGCUGUGGAUAUCAAGCUUGGGACAUGAGCAGGAUCAAUGUUCAAAGC
This 1678-nucleotide long non-coding RNA is filed under the name Citrus sinensis (sweet orange). RNAcentral's name for it is "long non-coding RNA (CSIN_LNC002357)". Lineage: Eukaryota; Viridiplantae; Streptophyta; Magnoliopsida; Sapindales; Rutaceae. The record is from RNAcentral.